UGCAAGAUCUCCAUCUCUCUGC
RNAcentral lists this non-coding RNA (22 nucleotides) under Arabidopsis thaliana (thale cress). Lineage: Eukaryota; Viridiplantae; Streptophyta; Magnoliopsida; Brassicales; Brassicaceae. The record is from RNAcentral.